Non-coding RNA from Haemonchus contortus (barber pole worm), 72 nucleotides. The record is from Rfam. Lineage: Eukaryota; Metazoa; Nematoda; Chromadorea; Rhabditida; Trichostrongylidae.
GUCUUGGUAGUAUAGGGGAUAGAACACGGUGCCCGUAAAGCACACGUAUGGGUUCGAGUCCCGUCCGAGACU